UGAGAAAUGACUGUAGAUCAUGGGAAGUUUGGGUUUACAAAUGUUGAAUUGCAUAUAUUGGUAGAUCAUAAGGUGGGGAUAUUGAGCAGAGUGUUAGACAUGAAAGCAAUUUGUAAGUAAUCAAUUGGCCUUCACAUAUUCAUCCAUUUAUUUAUUCAGAAAAUUACUUAGUCGGGAAAUUUUCGUUCAUAUGGUUGUAUGUCCUGUUGUUAAGGUAUUUCAAGAAUUUUCCUGUUCAGCUCAUUUUACAUAGUUCUGUUGUGGCAUUACAUUGUAAGCAUCUACCAUAAAGGUCUGCUAGUGGUUACCCUUAAUUUACAUUCAGAUGAAAGAGAAGAGAAGGAAAAAUACACAAGCAGGAGUCUUGAAAUUAUGGUACCUAAAAUUAUUAGGCAAUUUACAAAAUUAUUAGUGGGAAACUGCCCAUCAUGCAUAAAAAUAAUUUUAAUUGUGACAUACAGAGUUUAAGGUAGGAAUGAUUGUGGGGAGACCACAAUCACUUAAAGAAAGUGAUAUCUUUAAGAAGUUGAGUGUUUCCAGUCAAGAGAGAACUUGUUUUGGCUCUGUGACAAAGUUCUCUUGACACAGAAAGACUUGCUGUGAACUGGAAAAUUGUUA
This 618-nucleotide long non-coding RNA is filed under the name Bos taurus (domestic cattle). Its description in RNAcentral is "long non-coding RNA NONBTAT017208". The record is from RNAcentral. Lineage: Eukaryota; Metazoa; Chordata; Mammalia; Artiodactyla; Bovidae.